AGCCUGACGGAGCAAUACCGCGUGAGGGAGGAAGGCUCUUGGGUUGUAAACCUCUUUUCUCAGGGAAGAAAGAUGACGGUACCUGAGGAAUAAGCAUCGGCUAACUCCGUGCCAGCAGCCGCGGUAAUACGGAGGAUGCAAGCGUUAUCCGGAAUGAUUGGGCGUAAAGCGUCCGCAGGUGGCAAUGUAAGUCUGCUGUCAAAGCGUCUGGCUCAACCAGAUAAAGGCAGUGGAAACUACAUAGCUAGAGUAAGGUAGGGGUAGAGGGAAUUCCUGGUGUAGCGGUGAAAUGCGUAGAGAUCAGGAAGAACACCGGUGGCGAAAGCGCUCUGCUGGACCUUAACUGACACUGAGGGACGAAAGCUAGGGGAGCGAAUGGGAUUAGAUACCCCAGUAGU
This 398-nucleotide ribosomal RNA is filed under the name uncultured bacterium. RNAcentral describes it as "bacterial SSU rRNA". It matches the Rfam family "Bacterial small subunit ribosomal RNA", at positions 380 to 794 of the family's 1533-position model. The record is from RNAcentral.